GAGGGUGUAGCUCAGUGGUAGCGUGUGUGCCUAGCAUGCAUGACGUCCUGGGUUCAAUCCCCAGUACCUCCA
Molecule: transfer RNA, 72 nt
Filed under: Camelus ferus (Wild Bactrian camel)
Lineage: Eukaryota; Metazoa; Chordata; Mammalia; Artiodactyla; Camelidae
Rfam family: tRNA
About the family: Transfer RNA (tRNA) molecules are approximately 80 nucleotides in length. Their secondary structure includes four short double-helical elements and three loops (D, anti-codon, and T loops). Further hydrogen bonds mediate the characteristic L-shaped molecular structure. tRNAs have two regions of fundamental functional importance: the anti-codon, which is responsible for specific mRNA codon recognition, and the 3' end, to which the tRNAs corresponding amino acid is attached (by aminoacyl-tRNA synthetases). tRNAs cope with the degeneracy of the genetic code in two manners: having more than one tRNA (with a specific anti-codon) for a particular amino acid; and 'wobble' base-pairing, i.e. permitting non-standard base-pairing at the 3rd anti-codon position.
Source: Rfam by way of RNAcentral